UCCGUAGGCGGGCGUCUAAGUCAGUGGUGAAAUCUUACAGCUCAACUGUAAAAUUUCCAUUGAUACUGGAUGUCUUGAAUUAGUGUGAAGUGGUUAGAAUGUGUAGUGUAGCGGUGAAAUGCAUAGAUAUUACACAGAAUACCAAUUGCGAAGGCAGAUCACUAACACUAUAUUGACGCUGAGGGACGAAAGCGUGGGGAGCGAACAGGAUUAGAUACCCUGGUAGUCC
Molecule: ribosomal RNA, 229 nt
Filed under: uncultured bacterium
Lineage: Bacteria
Description: partial 16S ribosomal RNA
Rfam family: Bacterial small subunit ribosomal RNA
Source: RNAcentral